Molecule: ribosomal RNA, 253 nt
Filed under: uncultured bacterium
Lineage: Bacteria
Description: partial 16S ribosomal RNA
Rfam family: Bacterial small subunit ribosomal RNA
Source: RNAcentral
UACGUAGGGAGCAAGCGUUGUCCGGAAUCAUUGGGCGUAAAGCGCGCGUAGGCGGCCCUGUAAGUCCGCUGUGAAAGUCAAAGGCUCAACCUUUGAAAGCCGGUGGAUACUGCAGGGCUAGAGUCCGGAAGAGGCGAGUGGAAUUCCUGGUGUAGCGGUGGAAUGCGCAGAUAUCGGGAGGAACACCGGUGGCGAAGGCGGCCUUCUGGACAGUGACUGACGCUGAGACGCGAAAGCGUGGGGAGCAAACAGG